This 747-nucleotide long non-coding RNA is filed under the name Medicago truncatula (barrel medic). RNAcentral describes it as "long non-coding RNA (MTRU_LNC001335)". The record is from RNAcentral. Lineage: Eukaryota; Viridiplantae; Streptophyta; Magnoliopsida; Fabales; Fabaceae.
CUUAAAACAAACAUAGUGAACAAAUCAUCAUCAGAAACAACACAACACAGGACACCAAAAUGUUAGGAUUCAAACCAAAAUACUAGUAGGAUAAACCACCAGUUUAGUCCUUAAAGUAUCAUUGUUUCUCCAAUUUAGCCUAAGUAUUUAAAAUCCAUCAGGUUAGUCCCUACUAUUAAGAUCUUAUGCUAAAUUGAUUGAUUUUCAUAUACUCUUUCGACUAAAUUGACGUAUUUCAUAUAUUUUAGGACUACUUAUUAUUUUUAUAUACUUUGGGAACUAAAUUGAUGGUUUAUUUGUUACGACUAUAUCAUGAUAACCACUUACCGCGGGUGUUGCAGCUCGUUUGGUGAGAGGAUAUAGAUGUGUCCCUGGUCCUCCUCCCAAUACAAUGGAAAUCACAUUUUUUGGAUCAGCCCUUAGUCUCAUAAAUGAAGGCACUUGCAAGUUCUGAAAUUCAAAACACACUCUAAUCAUAAUCAUAUCCCAAAUAAAAAUGUAGCCACAUAAUUCACAUAAACAAAGUAAAAAUAGAAUUACCUAACUUUACAAUUAUGUCAUGCAAAAAUGAUCGAAAUUCAUAUUUUUUUUUUUCUCUCUCUCAGAAUUGGGAGCAAAAAGUGAAGCCUACAAUGAAAUUGAGCUUACCAAGGAACCUUUGGGAUCAUCUGAAGUAAGAAUAGCAGAUACAGCAACAUGUUUGAUCUUCUUCUGAUUUGUGAAACGUUCAUUCAACUGAUCCGUGAC